GGCCUUCCCCUUCCCACUUGUCCUACCAGAUGAGACUUUUACUGUUGCUGCUGCUGCUUCAGUAAACAGGUAGUAAUCAAACGCCUCGGCGAAGGGCACAAUUUGAAGAGAAUUAUUUUGUGUGAAUUCCCAUGCCAGUGUUUGCGAGAAUCUUGAUGGUUUAUACUGAAGUUCUCAGUAUGCUAAUGCAAAGCUUACCUUUGACGAUAUUGAAUGUGAUAUAUCUAUAGAGAAGAACUUCCUUGCCUUACGUAAGGAUAGUAAACUUAUUUAAAUUAUGUAGACAAAUCAAAGUGGCAUUGCUUAACCUUCUAGCCGGUGUGAAAACCAGGUUAAACAGCAAAGAUGCAAAACUUAGGUCACUUUGAAAAUUUAAACCAAAGUUCCUUAUAGAAAUAGGCAAUUGUGGAUUUGAAAACUGGUCAUUCCCUGUUUAUACAUAAGAAGUUCAGAGCUGAGUUAAGGAAGUAUUUUCAACAUGCAGAUUUUUAUUGGUGCUGUUUGAAAUCACUCUGCGCACCAAAGUCAGACUGAACUGCGAAGAGCACAUACCAAACCCUAUCUUAUUGCUGAAAGCUUAAGGUUUUAUUUUUAUAUAUUAGAAUGUUAUCACUAUUACAUAACAUACUCAGGACAAAGAACUUUGCUCAGGGAAUAUACCAUGGAAUGUUGUUUUUUCUUUACAGAAUAGUCUACAGACCUCCUUACUCAGAACAAACCAAAUAGUCUUAGACCUUUUUAUCUCUAUAUAAGUAUUAUGUACUGAUAUUAGUAACUACCUCUGAGUUGACAUAGAUCUACAUUUCUGAUAAUCAGAUCUCAGCAUUUUGUAUUAUAAGUUCCUGUGAAAUGAUAAAGUGGUAUUCUGUACUGGUUACUUAUGUGAACAUUUGUGUCUUUACAUUCACAGGGUCUGAGUUUUCAGAGAUGCUGGGCAACCACAGCUCUCACUGACUUCCAGUCAGAGUUACUGGUGCUUCGCUUUUCUAGGAGGGGAGGGAUGAGGGAUGGGGGGUGGAGGGGAAAGAAUAAAAACACAAGAGCAUCAAGCCCACUUUGUUUACAUAGGUGACAAUAAAAUUAUUAUUCUGUUUACAGCAAAAGGCUACCUCAUAUUUACUGCAUAAACACACCUUUGUGCUGCUCUAGCCUUAAAGGUGGCUGUUGAUCUAUGGUACAUACUUUUUAUCUGUACUAAAUAUGUAACUGAUAGUUCACCACUGCAUACAUUAUGGCAAAUACUUGUUUAAGAUGAAGCAUCCGUUUGAAAUUAUGAGACGUUUCCAAACAUUUCUUUGAAAGCUUUUAUUUUUCUGUCUAAAGGAUUAUGGGCACUGUUCAUGAAAAUAAAUACAUCUACAGAAGAGACAAAAAUGUACAUGCCUAAGUUAAACAUAUAGCAGUGCAAGCUGCAGCAGGUAACUACUGGACACUGGGCUGCAGUAGGAAAAAAAACCCCCAACUAUCUAAUUAUACACCUUCAGCUCCAGAUAAGAACCCUUUAAAGGAGGAGGCACAGGCUCAGUUUCAGAUUCUUCCUUUAUGUCUCAGGACAAAAUGAAUAUUCUGCAGCAUUGGCUCAGCCUAUUCACCAGCCUGUCCUUGCCAGAAUGCUUCACAAUAAAACUCAUUUGAGUAGAAAUAGUUCAAAUGUCUGCUCAGAGAGAUGUAUUUUUCUCCUAAUAAUAGUGGAGAUAGCUAAGGUUAAACCUGGAACAAGAAUCUCCCUCCCAUUCCCCCACCCCAAAAUACUCAAUUUGAUUUAAUUAUAAGGGACAUUGUGAGGUAUUUUUUACUCUCCCCCAAGGAGAGGUCAUGGUAUUUAUUUACAUGCUACAAAAGUUAGGCCAUGAGGAAGACUUGUAUUUGGAGGAGGAGGAGCCAAAUAGCUUUUCACUGCAGUUGAUGGUAAAUCUGGCGUUGCAAUACCAUUUGCAAAAUUCUGCUUUUAGCCAGCUUUCAGGGAGUGCCAAACACCACAUUUGGAUCCUACCUUUUCCCUUUGCAGGCCACCUUUUUCAGCCCAGUUCUACUCUGCACCAGUGUUAUCCUGGAGUUCCUGCUUAGUCAUACUUUUAGUUUUGUGAAUAGAGCCCCAUAAAAAGUGUUUAUAAAUCUUGUAACAUUCUUUGUAAGAAGAAUUAUAAAAGAACAUGGGAAAUCUCAUCUUAAAUUUAAUUUAAUUAAUUUAUCUGUAAGAAAUGUUUAUCAUAAAAAAUAUAUAUGUAUUCCCCUGUGCUAGAUAUAAAAGUAAUUGGGAAGAUAUGUACAUGUGCAGAUGCACUGAUUUUAAUUUUCUAGAAGUCUUAAUGAGAUUUGAGUAUUGUUUUAGAAACAAGCAGAGCCUUGUUAAAUGCAUCGAUCUUAUUUUGCCUAGUAUAUCAACAGCCUCUUCUUUAAGAUCCGUUGGUUGUGUACCCCUGUUACAACUGUUGACUGAUAACAAGAGGUUGAUUUAUGAACACAUGUUUCUGUUUUUUAUAUAAACCGGAGAUGUAUAUUAAGCAGCUUCGGCAGUGCUUUUAUGAGAAUGUCAAGAAGUACCUAGGUAUUUGCUACCAUUGUCGUGGAACCAAACGUAAGAACAACUAUCUUUACAAAGGAUAAUGGUUUUGACUACCUCUUGGAUUACUAAGUUAAGCAACAACUGGCUGACAAACAUCACCAGACUGGCUUAAACUAGUAUGUGUUGCUUGUGGUAAUAAUAACAAUAACCAUACUAGAGACCAAAGUGAACACUGAUUUCUAUAUGUCUUUAGUACUGUGUCUUAUCUAGUGUUUUUAAAUUAUCUUCUGUAGUAUAGAUUACCUCAUUGUCCAUUUUGACUUGUAUGUUGUUUACAAGGUGAAAUAAAAGAAAAAUCACUUGAAUUUUAAGUUUUAAGAAAAAGACAGUGAGUUGAAGUUUUGAAGGUCAUUUCACCUGUUUACUGUCUUGAGGGACUAAAGCACUGAUUGCCUUUCUACAUAUCAUGUAUUUUAUAUUCUCAUUUCAUGCCUAAUGUCUUUUUUUCCUGUCAGUCAUGGAUAUUGUGAGGUUUAAAAAAAUUACUUGAUUAAAAAUAAAACAUAUAACGUUGGCAUUUACA
RNAcentral lists this long non-coding RNA (3089 nucleotides) under Strigops habroptila (Kakapo). Its description in RNAcentral is "lncRNA (ENSSHBG00005007117.1)". Lineage: Eukaryota; Metazoa; Chordata; Aves; Psittaciformes; Psittacidae. The record is from RNAcentral.